UGGGAAGCAGUAAGCCUCUGAGCCCAGA
RNAcentral lists this non-coding RNA (28 nucleotides) under Rattus norvegicus (Norway rat). Lineage: Eukaryota; Metazoa; Chordata; Mammalia; Rodentia; Muridae. The record is from RNAcentral.